RNAcentral lists this non-coding RNA (28 nucleotides) under Mus musculus (house mouse). Lineage: Eukaryota; Metazoa; Chordata; Mammalia; Rodentia; Muridae. The record is from RNAcentral.
UNUUAGGCUCACUGUUCUUGUCCUCUGG